UUUGAUUGGAUCGGAAUAGGAUUUUUUUCUUAAAUCCAAGCGAUCUUUUCGUAGGCGUUUGCCCCCGAUCCAAUCGGGGGAUCGAAU
This 87-nucleotide transfer RNA is filed under the name Toxicodendron vernicifluum (Chinese lacquer tree). RNAcentral describes it as "tRNA-Glu". Lineage: Eukaryota; Viridiplantae; Streptophyta; Magnoliopsida; Sapindales; Anacardiaceae. RNAcentral also lists the same sequence under 5 other names. The record is from RNAcentral.